RNAcentral lists this ribosomal RNA (253 nucleotides) under uncultured bacterium. RNAcentral's name for it is "partial 16S ribosomal RNA". It matches the Rfam family "Bacterial small subunit ribosomal RNA", at positions 524 to 776 of the family's 1533-position model. The record is from RNAcentral.
UACGUAGGGGGCAAGCGUUGUCCGGAUUUACUGGGCGUAAAGAGCGCGCAGGCGGUCGUUCAAGUCGCGUGUGAAAGCCCCCGGCUCAACUGGGGAGGGUCACGCGAUACUGAUCGACUCGAAGGCAGGAGAGGGUAGUGGAAUUCCCGGUGUAGUGGUGAAAUGCGUAGAUAUCAGGAGGAACACCGGUGGCGAAGGCGCUCAUCUGGCCCAAUACUGACGCUGAGGCGCGAAAGCUAGGGGAGCAAACGGG